UGCAUAUCCAAAAAGCGGAGGAAAAGAAACCAACCGGGAUUGCCUUAGUAACGGCGAGUGAAGCGGCAAAAGCUCAAAUUUGAAAUCUGGUACCUUCGGUGCCCGAGUUGUAAUUUGGAGAGGGCAACUUUGGGGCCGUUCCUUGUCUAUGUUCCUUGGAACAGGACGUCAUAGAGGGUGAGAAUCCCGUGUGGCGAGGAGUGCGGUUCUUUGUAAAGUGCCUUCGAAGAGUCGAGUUGUUUGGGAAUGCAGCUCUAAGUGGGUGGUAAAUUCCAUCUAAAGCUAAAUAUUGGCGAGAGACCGAUAGCGAACAAGUACAGUGAUGGAAAGAUGAAAAGAACUUUGAAAAGAGAGUGAAAAAGUACGUGAAAUUGUUGAAAGGGAAGGGCAUUUGAUCAGACAUGGUGUUUUGUGCCCUCUGCUCCUUGUGGGUAGGGGAAUCUCGCAUUUCACUGGGCCAGCAUCAGUUUUGGUGGCAGGAUAAAUCCAUAGGAAUGUAGCUUGCCUCGGUAAGUAUUAUAGCCUGUGGGAAUACUGCCAGCUGGGACUGAGGACUGCGACGUAAGUCAAGGAUGCUGGCAUAAUGGUUAUAUGCCGCCCGUCUUGAAACACGGACC
Molecule: ribosomal RNA, 617 nt
Filed under: Saccharomyces cerevisiae (brewer's yeast)
Lineage: Eukaryota; Fungi; Ascomycota; Saccharomycetes; Saccharomycetales; Saccharomycetaceae
Description: eukaryotic LSU rRNA
Rfam family: Eukaryotic large subunit ribosomal RNA
Source: RNAcentral